AGAGUUUGAUCCUGGCUCAGAACGAACGCUGGCGGCAGGCUUCAUACAUGCAAGUCGCGCGAUUAAAGCUCCUUCGGGAGUGUAUAAAGCGGCGAACGGGUGAGUAACAGGUGGACAACCUGCCUCUCGGCGGGGGAUAACAGUUGGAAACGGCUGCUAAUACCGCGUACGUCUAAUUGCUGAUGGCGAUUAGGGAAAGGUGCUUCACGGCGCCACCGAGAGAUGGGUCCGCCCCCCAUUAGCUAGUUGGUGAGAUAACAGCUCACCAAGGCCACUAUGGGUAGCCGAGCUGAGAGGUUGAUCGGCCACACUGGAACUGAGACACGGUCCAGACACCUACGGGUGGCAGCAGUAGGGAAUAUUGGACAAUGGGCGAAAGCCUGAUCCAGCCAUGCCGCGUGGGGGAUGAAGGCCUUCGGGUCGUAAACCCCUUUUCUGAGAGAAGAACAACCUGGGUAGGAAAUGAUCCAGGUCUGACGGUAUCUCAGGAAUAAGCAACGGCUAACUCCGUGCCAGCAGCCGCGGUAAUACGGAGGUUGCAAGCGUUGUUCGGAAUUACUGGGCGUAAAGGGAGCGCAGGCGGCUAGGUCAGUCUGAAGUUGAAGCCCGGGGCUUAACCCCGGAAGUGCUUUGGAUACUGCCUAGCUUGAGUACGUGAGAGGAGAGUGGAAUUCCAGGUGUAGCGGUGAAAUGCGUAGAUAUCUGGAGGAACACCUGUGGCGAAAGCGACUCUCUGGCACGUUACUGACGCUGAGGCUCGAAAGCGUGGGGAGCGAACGGGAUUAGAUACCCCGGUAGUCCACGCCGUAAACGUUGUGCGCUAGGUGUAGGAGGUAUCGACCCCUUCUGUGCCGCAGCUAACGCAUUAAGCGCACCGCCUGGGGAGUACGAUCGCAAGAUUGAAACUCAAAGGAAUUGACGGGGGCCCGCACAAGCGGUGGAGCAUGUGGUUUAAUUCGAGGCAACGCGAAGAACCUUACCCAGGCUUGACAUCUCGGAAACCCUUUUGAAAAUUAGGGGUGCCCUUCGGGGAAUCCGAUGACAGGUGUUGCAUGGCUGUCGUCAGCUCGUGUCGUGAGAUGUUGGGUUAAGUCCCGCAACGAGCGCAACCCUUGUUCUCAGUUACCAUCGGUUCGGCCGGGAACUCUGAGGAGACUGCCGCUGAUAAGGCGGAGGAAGGUGGGGACGACGUCAAGUCAUCAUGGCCCUUACGUCUGGGGCUACACACGUGCUACAAUGGCCGGUACAGAGGGCUGCUAAGCCGCAAGGUGGAGCUAAUCCCUAAAAGCCGGUCUCAGUUCGGAUUGGAGUCUGCAACUCGACUCCAUGAAGUUGGAAUCGCUAGUAAUCGCGUAUCAGCUACGACGCGGUGAAUACGUUCCC
Molecule: ribosomal RNA, 1383 nt
Filed under: metagenome
Description: bacterial SSU rRNA
Rfam family: Bacterial small subunit ribosomal RNA
Source: RNAcentral